GGGUUGUGAGGUUAAGCGACUAAGCGUACACGGUGGAUGCCCUGGCAGUCAGAGGCGAUGAAGGGCGUGCUAAUCUGCGAUAAGCGCCGGUAAGGUGAUAUGAACCGUUAUAACCGGCGAUACCCGAAUGGGGAAACCCAGUGUGACUCGUCACACUAUCAUUAACUGAAUCCAUAGGUUAAUGAGGCGAACCGGGGGAACUGAAACAUCUAAGUACCCCGAGGAAAAGAAAUCAACCGAGAUUCCCCCAGUAGCGGCGAGCGAACGGGGAGGAGCCCAGAGCCUGAAUCAGCAUGUGUGUUAGUGGAAGCGUCUGGAAAGGCGCGCGAUACAGGGUGACAGCCCCGUACACAAAAGCGCAUGUGCUGUGAGCUCGAUGAGUAGGGCGGGACACGUGAUAUCCUGUCUGAAUAUGGGGGGACCAUCCUCCAAGGCUAAAUACUCCUGACUGACCGAUAGUGAACCAGUACCGUGAGGGAAAGGCGAAAAGAACCCCGGCGAGGGGAGUGAAAAAGAACCUGAAACCGUGUACGUACAAGCAGUGGGAGCACCCUUUGGGGUGUGACUGCGUACCUUUUGUAUAAUGGGUCAGCGACUUAUAUUCUGUAGCAAGGUUAACCGAAUAGGGGAGCCGGAGGGAAACCGAGUCUUAACCGGGCGUUAAGUUGCAGGGUAUAGACCCGAAACCCGGUGAUCUAGCCAUGGGCAGGUUGAAGGUUGGGUAACACUAACUGGAGGACCGAACCGACUAAUGUUGAAAAAUUAGCGGAUGACCUGUGGCUGGGGGUGAAAGGCCAAUCAAACCGGGAGAUAGCUGGUUCUCCCCGAAAGCUAUUUAGGUAGCGCCUCGUGAAUUCAUCUCCGGGGGUAGAGCACUGUUUCGGCUAGGGGGCCAUCCCGGCUUACCAACCCGAUGCAAACUGCGAAUACCGGAGAAUGUUAUCACGGGAGACACACGGCGGGUGCUAACGUCCGUCGUGAAGAGGGAAACAACCCAGACCGCCAGCUAAGGUCCCAAAGUCAUGGUUAAGUGGGAAACGAUGUGGGAAGGCCCAGACAGCCAGGAUGUUGGCUUAGAAGCAGCCAUCAUUUAAAGAAAGCGUAAUAGCUCACUGGUCGAGUCGGCCUGCGCGGAAGAUGUAACGGGGCUAAACUAUGCACCGAAGCUGCGGCAGCGACACUGUGUGUUGUUGGGUAGGGGAGCGUUCUGUAAGCCUGUGAAGGUGUGUCGUGAGGCAUGCUGGAGGUAUCAGAAGUGCGAAUGCUGACAUAAGUAACGAUAAAGCGGGUGAAAAGCCCGCUCGCCGGAAGACCAAGGGUUCCUGUCCAACGUUAAUCGGGGCAGGGUGAGUCGACCCCUAAGGCGAGGCCGAAAGGCGUAGUCGAUGGGAAACGGGUUAAUAUUCCCGUACUUGGUGUUACUGCGAAGGGGGGACGGAGAAGGCUAUGUUGGCCGGGCGACGGUUGUCCCGGUUUAAGCGUGUAGGUGUGUGUUCCAGGUAAAUCCGGUUCACUUUAACACUGAGGCGUGACGACGAGGCACUACGGUGCUGAAGCAACAAAUGCCCUGCUUCCAGGAAAAGCCUCUAAGCAUCAGGUAACAUCAAAUCGUACCCCAAACCGACACAGGUGGUCAGGUAGAGAAUACCAAGGCGCUUGAGAGAACUCGGGUGAAGGAACUAGGCAAAAUGGUGCCGUAACUUCGGGAGAAGGCACGCUGACACGUAGGUGAAGUGAUUUACUCAUGGAGCUGAAGUCAGUCGAAGAUACCAGCUGGCUGCAACUGUUUAUUAAAAACACAGCACUGUGCAAACACGAAAGUGGACGUAUACGGUGUGACGCCUGCCCGGUGCCGGAAGGUUAAUUGAUGGGGUCAGCGCAAGCGAAGCUCCUGAUCGAAGCCCCGGUAAACGGCGGCCGUAACUAUAACGGUCCUAAGGUAGCGAAAUUCCUUGUCGGGUAAGUUCCGACCUGCACGAAUGGCGUAAUGAUGGCCAGGCUGUCUCCACCCGAGACUCAGUGAAAUUGAACUCGCUGUGAAGAUGCAGUGUACCCGCGGCAAGACGGAAAGACCCCGUGAACCUUUACUAUAGCUUGACACUGAACAUUGAGCCUUGAUGUGUAGGAUAGGUGGGAGGCUUUGAAGCGUGGACGCCAGUCUGCGUGGAGCCGACCUUGAAAUACCACCCUUUAAUGUUUGAUGUUCUAACGUGGACCCGUGAUCCGGGUUGCGGACAGUGUCUGGUGGGUAGUUUGACUGGGGCGGUCUCCUCCUAAAGAGUAACGGAGGAGCACGAAGGUUGGCUAAUCCUGGUCGGACAUCAGGAGGUUAGUGCAAUGGCAUAAGCCAGCUUGACUGCGAGCGUGACGGCGCGAGCAGGUGCGAAAGCAGGUCAUAGUGAUCCGGUGGUUCUGAAUGGAAGGGCCAUCGCUCAACGGAUAAAAGGUACUCCGGGGAUAACAGGCUGAUACCGCCCAAGAGUUCAUAUCGACGGCGGUGUUUGGCACCUCGAUGUCGGCUCAUCACAUCCUGGGGCUGAAGUAGGUCCCAAGGGUAUGGCUGUUCGCCAUUUAAAGUGGUACGCGAGCUGGGUUUAGAACGUCGUGAGACAGUUCGGUCCCUAUCUGCCGUGGGCGCUGGAGAACUGAGGGGGGCUGCUCCUAGUACGAGAGGACCGGAGUGGACGCAUCACUGGUGUUCGGGUUGUCAUGCCAAUGGCACUGCCCGGUAGCUAAAUGCGGAAGAGAUAAGUGCUGAAAGCAUCUAAGCACGAAACUUGCCCCGAGAUGAGUUCUCCCUGAGACUUAGAGUCUCCUGAAGGAACGUUGAAGACGACGACGUUGAUAGGCCGGGUGUGUAAGCGCAGCGAUGCGUUGAGCUAACCGGUACUAAUGAACCGUGAGGCUUAACCUUACAACGCCGAAG
RNAcentral lists this ribosomal RNA (2926 nucleotides) under Salmonella enterica subsp. enterica serovar Newport str. CDC 2012K-0938. RNAcentral's name for it is "23S ribosomal RNA". It matches the Rfam family "Bacterial large subunit ribosomal RNA". Lineage: Bacteria; Pseudomonadati; Pseudomonadota; Gammaproteobacteria; Enterobacterales; Enterobacteriaceae. The record is from RNAcentral.